CCUACGGGAGGCUGCAGUGGGGGAUAUUGCACAAUGGGGGAAACCCUGAUGCAGCGACGCCGCGUGGGCGAAGAAGUAUUUCGGUAUGUAAAGCCCUAUCAGCAGGGAAGAAAAAAUGACGGUACCUGAGUAAGAAGCACCGGCUAAAUACGUGCCAGCAGCCGCGGUAAACGGAGGGUGGCAGCGUUAUCCGGAUUUAAUGGGUGGAAAGGGAGCGCAGGGGGCACGGCAAGCCUGAUGUGAAAGCCCGCGGCCCAACCGCGGGACUGCAUUGGGAACUACCGGGCUGGAGUGCCGGAGAGGUAGGCGGAAGUCCUAGUGUAGCGGUGAAAUGCGUAGAUAUUAGGAGGAACACCAGUGGCGAAGGCGGCCUACUGGACGGUGACUGACGCUGAGGCUCGAAAGCGUGGGGAGCAAACAGGAUUAGAUACCCUGGUAGUC
This 441-nucleotide ribosomal RNA is filed under the name uncultured bacterium. Its description in RNAcentral is "partial 16S ribosomal RNA". It matches the Rfam family "Bacterial small subunit ribosomal RNA", at positions 338 to 795 of the family's 1533-position model. The record is from RNAcentral.